GCUAGGCAUGGUGCUCUGCAGCUAUGAAAAAUAAUCCAGCUCAAAUCCAUGUCCGGAAGGCAGAGUUCUCAAAUUUCAGAUUUUUCCAUGAGAUCGGCACCAGCAGCCCCCGAUGAGGCGACCGUCAGUGCGGCUUAACGGCCUGGGUAAGCACCAUAAUUGGUACCGAUGUCCUCUAAGGUGUCCAACCUAAGUUCCCACAUGUCGUGCCUGUCUUACCCAUACCAACGAGGACCCC
This 238-nucleotide long non-coding RNA is filed under the name Setaria viridis. RNAcentral's name for it is "long non-coding RNA (SVIR_LNC008890)". The record is from RNAcentral. Lineage: Eukaryota; Viridiplantae; Streptophyta; Magnoliopsida; Poales; Poaceae.